Molecule: long non-coding RNA, 499 nt
Organism: Gymnogyps californianus (California condor)
Lineage: Eukaryota; Metazoa; Chordata; Aves; Accipitriformes; Cathartidae
Exons: 4
Source: RefSeq, a predicted model, not a curated record
UUCCCUGGUGGUGCCGUUCCAGGUGGCUGAUCUUUCACUUCUUGUCUCAAGAACUGGACUGGGCUUGACAACCUCCCGUUCCCCAGGACCUACAGGAGCUGCAGUUAAUUAAUCUUUUCUUUUUUCAAAGCCUCACAAGAAAGCAAGGUUGGAACAACAGGAUGUCAGUGCGUGUUAUGGAGGAGCAGUUAAGUGCUCGGAUGCUACUAAAAGUCACGGGAAUUUCACAGCAUUAUGUUGGGGAUGUCCAAGAACAGACCAGCAAAGCUGAGUAAGGUCAGAGAAUUGAAGCCUUCAAGGCAACUCUGCAAAGAUACGGAUGACAUUGGACCAAUGAACGAGGUGGUCGGUUUGCAGGUUGUCUUUUCAGAAGACCCAGGAAGAGGUGGCUGCUCCAUGGCAGACAUACACACACGCGUGUCUGAAGACCAACAGAAGACCAGCUGGUGGGAGGCAGGAUCGUAAAGACGACUUUUCCACAAAUCCCGCAGACACAAUA